CUUGGUCAUUUAGAGGAAGUAAAAGUCGUAACAAGGUUUCCGUAGGUGAACCUGCGGAAGGAUCAUUACCGAGUUCAUGCCCUUCGGGGUAGAUCUCCCACCCUUUGUAUACUAUACCUCUGUUGCUUUGGCGGGCCGCCUAGCUACUGGCUUCGGCUGGUAAGUGCCCGCCAGAGGACCCAAAACCCUGAAUAUUAGUGUCGUCUGAGUAAAAAGUUUAAUAUUUAAAACUUUCAACAACGGAUCUCUUGGCUCUGGCAUCAAUGAAGAACGCAGCGAAAUGCGAUAAGUAAUGUGAAUUGCAGAAUUCAGUGAAUCAUCGAAUCUUUGAACGCACAUUGCGCCCCUUGGUAUUCCGAGGGGCAUGCCUAUUCGAGCGUCAUUAUCACCCCUCAAGCCUAGCUUGGUGUUGAGGCCUGCUGUUAAGGCAGCCUCUAAAAUCAGUGGCAGUGCUGUCAGGCUCUAAGCGUAGUAAAUUCAUCGCUAUAGGGUCCUGGUGGAUACUCGCCAAAACCCUCCCAUUUUUUAAUGAUUGACCUCGGAUUAGGUAGGGAUACCCGCUGAACUUAAGCAUAUCAAUAAGCGGAGGA
RNAcentral lists this ribosomal RNA (590 nucleotides) under uncultured fungus. RNAcentral describes it as "eukaryotic LSU rRNA". The stretch from base 229 to 382 matches the Rfam family "5.8S ribosomal RNA". The record is from RNAcentral. Lineage: Eukaryota; Fungi.